AUGAAAAGCUCUUUCAAAGCAUUUGGUCAGAGUAACCCUUAUGGUCAGAGUGAAGGAGACUUUGCUGACACAGAGUGAGUAACUGAGAAUUUGCGUCAAAGUGGGAAUCCAGGACAGAAAGGGACAGAAGUGCGAGAGAGCGAGAGAAAAAGAGAUGAAUGGGGGAGGAAAUGCAUUCCGGAUCAAGAGACCUCCCUGUGCUGAAACCACUGGCAUGAUGACAUCAUGAAUACAGGAUAACUCCAAUCAAUGUCUGUUGCAUCUGAAGAGUGUGUGGACUCCCUUACUAGUCGUCAAUGCAUGGUAGGACUCUAGGAAGCACAGAGCAUCAGAGGGACCCCGGUGCGCAUACCCAUUGAUCCUUGAAGGCAAUGAAACAGAGGACUAUGAAUGCUGAGUGAGAAGAUUGAAGGCCGAGAUCAAAAGAUUUUUGGAUACUAAAGAGUAUGGGGAUCACGCAGAAAGCUGCAAUUGGGGUGGAAUAUCAACCCUAACUGAGUGGAAUGGUGAAACAGGCUUGAGCAGCUGAAUGGUCCACUCCUGCUUCUGAUGGCCUCUGAAGAGAUUGUUCACUCAGUCCUGGCGAACAUGACAAUGUUAAACAUCUAUUUGUCAGUCAAAAUUGCAAUUUUUUUCUUAUAAAGACUUAAAAAGA
Molecule: long non-coding RNA, 655 nt
Organism: Rhincodon typus (whale shark)
Lineage: Eukaryota; Metazoa; Chordata; Chondrichthyes; Orectolobiformes; Rhincodontidae
Exons: 3
Source: RefSeq, a predicted model, not a curated record